This 91-nucleotide transfer RNA is filed under the name Aspergillus melleus. RNAcentral's name for it is "tRNA-Thr". It matches the Rfam family "tRNA". From Rfam's summary of the family: Transfer RNA (tRNA) molecules are approximately 80 nucleotides in length. Their secondary structure includes four short double-helical elements and three loops (D, anti-codon, and T loops). Further hydrogen bonds mediate the characteristic L-shaped molecular structure. tRNAs have two regions of fundamental functional importance: the anti-codon, which is responsible for specific mRNA codon recognition, and the 3' end, to which the tRNAs corresponding amino acid is attached (by aminoacyl-tRNA synthetases). tRNAs cope with the degeneracy of the genetic code in two manners: having more than one tRNA (with a specific anti-codon) for a particular amino acid; and 'wobble' base-pairing, i.e. permitting non-standard base-pairing at the 3rd anti-codon position. Lineage: Eukaryota; Fungi; Ascomycota; Eurotiomycetes; Eurotiales; Aspergillaceae. The record is from RNAcentral.
GCCUCUAUUGUCUAGUGGUUAGGACGUACCACUCGUAUGCAUCCAUGGAUAUGUAAUGGUGAGGUCCCCGGUUCAAAUCCGGGUGGAGGCA